CCUACGGGAGGCAGCAGUAAGGAAUAUUGGUCAAUGGACGCAAGUCUGAACCAGCCAUGCCGCGUGGAGGAUGAAGGCCCUCUGGGUUGUAAACUUCUUUUACAGGGGACGAAACACUUCCAUUCUUAAGAGCUUGACGGUACCCUGGGAAUAAGCACCGGCUAACUCCGUGCCAGCAGCCGCGGUAAU
Molecule: ribosomal RNA, 189 nt
Filed under: uncultured Flexibacter sp.
Lineage: Bacteria; Pseudomonadati; Bacteroidota; Cytophagia; Cytophagales; Flexibacteraceae
Description: partial 16S ribosomal RNA
Rfam family: Bacterial small subunit ribosomal RNA
Source: RNAcentral